Molecule: ribosomal RNA, 495 nt
Filed under: uncultured bacterium
Lineage: Bacteria
Description: partial 16S ribosomal RNA
Rfam family: Bacterial small subunit ribosomal RNA
Source: RNAcentral
GACGAACGCUGGCGGAGUGCUUAAUACAUGCAAGUAGAACGAUGAAGGUGGAGUUUGCUUCUGUGGAUGAGUCGCGCACGGGUGAGUAACGCGUAGGUAACCUGCCUGGUAGCGGGGGAUAACUAUUGGAAACGAUAGCUAAUACCGCAUAAGAGUAGAUGUUGCAUGACAUUUAUUUAAACGGUGCUAUUGCAUCACUACCAGAUGGGCCUGCGUUGUAUUAGCUAGUUUGUGAGGUAACGGCUCACCAAAGCAACGAUACAGAGACGACCUGGAAGGGUGGACGGCCAAACUGGGACUGGGACACGGCCCAGAAUCCUUCGGGGGGCAGCAGGAGGGGAACUUCGGCAAUGGACGGCAAUCUUACCGAACAACGCCGCGGGAGGGGAGAAGGUCUUCGGGUCGUAAAGGUCUGUUGUAAGGGGAGAACGAGUUUGAGACGGGAAAGUUCACACUGUGACGGUAUCUUACCAGGAAGCAACGGCUAACUACGUG